Molecule: ribosomal RNA, 330 nt
Filed under: uncultured Thermus sp.
Lineage: Bacteria; Thermotogati; Deinococcota; Deinococci; Thermales; Thermaceae
Description: bacterial SSU rRNA
Rfam family: Bacterial small subunit ribosomal RNA
Source: RNAcentral
CGUCAGCUCGUGCCGUGAGGUGUUGGGUUAAGUCCGCAACGAGCGCAACCCCCGCCGUUAGUUGCCAGCGGUUCGGCCGGGCACGUCUAACGGGACUGGCCCGCGAAAGCGGGAGGAAGGAGGGGACGACGUCUGGUCAGCAUGGCCCUUACGGCCUGGGCGACACACGUGCUACAAUGCCCACUACAAAGCGAUGCCACCCGGCAACGGGGAGCUAAUCGCAAAAAGGUGGGCCCAGUUCGGAUUGGGGUCUGCAACCCGACCCCAUGAAGCCGGAAUCGCUAGUAAUCGCGGAUCAGCCAUGCCGCGGUGAAUACGUUCCCGGGCCUU